Long non-coding RNA from Pristis pectinata (smalltooth sawfish), 256 nucleotides. RefSeq lists it as uncharacterized. The transcript is spliced from 3 exons. The record is from RefSeq and is a predicted model, not a curated record. NCBI's taxonomy places the organism in Eukaryota, Metazoa, Chordata, Chondrichthyes, Rhinopristiformes, Pristidae.
UUCAGUUCGGGAGUCAUUUCAGGAAUCAAGAAUCUGCAAUCCAUUCAGUGGAUGCAAAAGAUCUUAUCCACAACAUUGAAGAAAAGCAGGGCAGUUAUUCCUGGUGACCUGGCCAAUAUUUAUCCUUCUGUUCAUAAUGGUAAAACAGAUAAUCUGGUGGACAUAAAGGUACUUUGAAGAGGAACGGUGGAGUUACCACAGGCAUCCAAGGAAAUAUUCACUCUAUAAAUAACAUCACAAAGAAAGAUUACCAGGU